This 700-nucleotide ribosomal RNA is filed under the name uncultured beta proteobacterium. RNAcentral describes it as "bacterial SSU rRNA". It matches the Rfam family "Bacterial small subunit ribosomal RNA", at positions 79 to 776 of the family's 1533-position model. Lineage: Bacteria; Pseudomonadati; Pseudomonadota; Betaproteobacteria. The record is from RNAcentral.
UUGCACCUGGUGGCGAGUGGCGAACGGGUGAGUAAUACAUCGGAACGUACCUUAUCGUGGGGGAUAACGCAGCGAAAGCUGUGCUAAUACCGCAUACGCCCUGAGGGGGAAAGCGGGGGAUCGAAAGACCUCGCGCGAUUAGAGCGGCCGAUGCCUGAUUAGCUUGUUGGUGGGGUAAAAGCCCACCAAGGCGACGAUCAGUAGCUGGUCUGAGAGGACGAUCAGCCACACUGGGACUGAGACACGGCCCAGACUCCUACGGGAGGCAGCAGUGGGGAAUUUUGGACAAUGGGGGAAACCCUGAUCCAGCAAUGCCGCGUGAGUGAAGAAGGCCUUCGGGUUGUAAAGCUCUUUUGUCAGGGAAGAAACACCGGCUCUAACACAGUCCGGGAAUGACGGUACCUGAAGAAUAAGCACCGGCUAACUACGUGCCAGCAGCCGCGGUAAUACGUAGGGUGCGAGCGUUAAUCGGAAUUACUGGGCGUAAAGCGUGCGCAGGCGGUUAUACAAGACAGGCGUGAAAUCCCCGGGCUUAACCUGGGAAUGGCGCCUGUGACUGUAUAGCUAGAGUGUGUCAGAAGGGGGUAGAAUUCCACGUGUAGCAGUGAAAUGCGUAGAUAUGUGGAGGAAUACCAAUGGCGAAGGCAGCCCCCUGGGAUAACACUGACGCUCACGCACGAAAGCGUGGGGAGCAAACAGG